AUAGACCCGAAACCCGGUGAUCUAGCCAUGGGCAGGUUGAAGGUUGGGUAACACUAACUGGAGGACCGAACCGACUAAUGUUGAAAAAUUAGCGGAUGACUUGUGGCUGGGGGGGAAAGGCCAAUCAAACCGGGAGAUAGCUGGUUCUCCCCGAAAGCUAUUUAGGUAGCGCCUCGUGAAUUCAUCUCCGGGGGUAGAGCACUGUUUCGGCAAGGGGGUCAUCCCGACUUACCAACCCGAUGCAAACUGCGAAUACCGGAGAAUGUUAUCACGGGAGACACACGGCGGGUGCUAACGUCCGUCGUGAAGAGGGAAACAACCCAGACCGCCAGCUAAGGUCCCAAAGUCAUGGUUAAGUGGGAAACGAUGUGGGAAGGCCCAGACAGCCAGGAUGUUGGCUUAGAAGCAGCCAUCAUUUAAAGAAAGCGUAAUAGCUCACUGGUCGAGUCGGCCUGCGCGGAAGAUGUAACGGGGCUAAACCAUGCACCGAAGCUGCGGCAGCGACGCUUAUGC
Molecule: ribosomal RNA, 513 nt
Filed under: Escherichia coli
Lineage: Bacteria; Pseudomonadati; Pseudomonadota; Gammaproteobacteria; Enterobacterales; Enterobacteriaceae
Description: bacterial LSU rRNA
Rfam family: Bacterial large subunit ribosomal RNA
Source: RNAcentral